UUCGGCCUACGGGAGGCAGCAGUAGGGAAUCUUCCACAAUGGGCGAAAGCCUGAUGGAGCAACGCCGCGUGGGUGAAGAAGGUCUUCGGAUCGUAAAACCCUGUUGUUAGAGAAGAAAGUGCGUGAGAGUAACUGUUCACGUUUCGACGGUAUCUAACCAGAUAGCCACGGCUAACUACGUGCCAGCAGCCGCGGUAAUACGUAGGUGGCAAGCGUUAUCCGGAUUUAUUGGUCGUAAA
This 239-nucleotide ribosomal RNA is filed under the name uncultured bacterium. Its description in RNAcentral is "partial 16S ribosomal RNA". It matches the Rfam family "Bacterial small subunit ribosomal RNA", at positions 330 to 564 of the family's 1533-position model. The record is from RNAcentral.